This 460-nucleotide ribosomal RNA is filed under the name uncultured bacterium. RNAcentral describes it as "partial 16S ribosomal RNA". It matches the Rfam family "Bacterial small subunit ribosomal RNA", at positions 338 to 795 of the family's 1533-position model. The record is from RNAcentral.
CCUACGGGAGGCAGCAGUGAGGAAUAUUGGUCAAUGGACGAGAGUCUGAACCAGCCAAGUAGCGUGAAGGAUGACUGCCCUAUGGGUUGUAAACUUCUUUUAUAUGGGAAUAAAACGUUCCACGUGUGGGAUUUUGUAUGUCCCAUAUGAAUAAGGAUCGGCUAACUCCGUGCCAGCAGCCGCGGUAAUACGGAGGAUCCGAGCGUUAUCCGGAUUUAUUGGGUUUAAAGGGAGCGUAGGUGGAUUGUUAAGUCAGUUGUGAAAGUUUGCGGCUCAACCGUAAAAUUGCAGUUGAAACUGGCAGUCUUGAGUACAGUGGAGGUGGGCGGAAUUCGUGGUGUAGCGGUGAAAUGCUUAGAUAUCACGAAGAACUCCGAUUGCGAAGGCAGUUCACUGGACUGCAACUGACACUGAGGCUCGAAAGUGUGGGUAUCAAACAGGAUUAGAUACCCUGGUAGUC